This is an RNA transcript of Amblyraja radiata (thorny skate), 5407 nucleotides long. It is a transcript of the gene named PWWP domain containing 2B, with no coding region annotated. Lineage: Eukaryota; Metazoa; Chordata; Chondrichthyes; Rajiformes; Rajidae. The record is from RefSeq and is a predicted model, not a curated record. The transcript has 5 exons.
AAUCGACCCGCAAGAGGACGCUGUCUAGCGCUUCCGCAAUCCAUCCUUUGCAUCGCUAUAUUAAUCAUCCUGCUCAUUAGGCCACUGUGGGGCGUUUGGUUCUGGAACCUUUAAAGACUUCAAUUGGUGUACUUUCAGGAAACCGUCUACGUGUUGUAUUCAGUCGGUGCAUUCUCAGGGAAGGAAGGGUGCAUUUUGUUCGCCUCCCGUGUGAAUCUUCUGUGCAAUCGCUGUGUUGCCAGAGAUGGGACGCAUGCGCCGGGCGCUCGUGCACCGGGCUGUGGGGCUGUGAUUGACGGGCGAGGCGCGGGCACGGAGCCCGCGGGGACGUGCACGUGCACGUGCGCCCGUCCACUCGCUCCCCACUGCGUCACCCCCCCGCCCCGCCCCCCACCCGCAGCCCCCGGCGUUGCCCCGCCAACAAGAUGGCGGCGCUCAGCCCGCCGCCGCCGCCGCCACCGCCACCACCCGCAGCCGCAGCGGGGCUACUAGCCGGCGCCCAGCUCACCGUCACCGUGGAGCACGUCGUCAGCGGCACCGUGGUGGUGUCCACCAACUUCGGAGGGAGCAGCUUCACCGGCAUCCUGAUAGACAUGGCCAAGAAGUCAGGAUUAUGUGGGUUGCUACCAAACCAGUUUCCUGCAGAAUCAUGCACCAGUGAAGUCCUUGACGGGAAAGAACAGUCCAUCUGUCAAACUAAGUCUCAGCCCUGCAACUUGCAACAUACCGAGAUGUCAAACCGAGAACAAGUUUCACCUCUUCAGCCAUUACCAAAAACUGUGCCUUGUUUGCCACCUUAUUGUGAAGGUGUACCUCUGCCACAACCUUUGGUAUUGAGACAGACUUAUAAUCAGUGGGUUCCGCAGCCACCACCUCGGACAAUCAAACGCACAAAAAGACGCCUGUCAAGGAAUCGCGAUCCUGGUAAGCUUAUAAUGAGCACCAUUAGAUUGCGACCUAGGCAGGUGUUGUGCGAAAAAUGCAAAAACACACUAAAUCGGGAGGAGGAGGAGGAGGAGGAGGAGGAUGAUGAUGAUGAUGACAAAGAUAGACAUAAUAAUAAGAAUGACAAAAAAACUAGUGUGGAGGAAAAUGAAAAGAGGAAACCUGAGGUCACGUGCUGUGAAAAUAGGAAAUUAAAAAAGGAAAAGAAAGAUGAAAAAUGUUCUACUGAGAUGGUGCAUCGAAGCCCAGUGAUUAAAAUAUCAUAUAGCACUCCUCAAGGUAAAGGGAAGGUUGUGAAAAUUCCCUCACGGGUACAUGGCUCAGUUGAGCCUUUUUGUCCUAAACGGUUAAUGCAAAAUGAAAGUGUGGACCAGGACAAGAAUACAAAUGGUGAUGAGAUGGAGGUUCUUCCAGAAAAGUCAUUUUCUAGUCCAUCUGGAACCAUUCCAAAGUUAAAACUAACUAGGCCUUUGCAUUCCAUGGCAGACAUCCCACCACCUAGAAUUCGAUUAAAACCUCAUCGGCUCAGUAACGGGGACAAUGUUGCAAUUUAUAAGGCUGAGCUUGUAGAUAAUCUAAAUAGCGAUGUGCUACCUACAAGGAGAUCAGAUAGUAGUGCACUUCAUUCUGAAGAAUCUACAGGAAAAAGUUCAAUAGAGACAUCAGGGAGUUCUGGAGAGGAGGACCAAUGGAGGUACAAAAGAAGUCGUCGGAGCAAGGAUCAAGGUGAUCUGACUGUAUAUUUAAGUUAUAGGAAAAAAAGAGCAGAUUCAUCAAGUUUAUCGGUCUGUAGUAAUGAUAGUCUAGAUGAAUCAAAGUCUUCUAGUUCAGAAAUAACUUCACCAGAAAUAUGUGAUUUUGCACCUGGAGAUGAUGCAUCUGUGUCAUCUUCUUCCAAAGAAGAAAAGACUGUGCCACCCUUAACUGUGAGACUUCAUACCAAAACUGUCACAAAAUGUGUAACAACCGAAGGCAGGACUAUAUCUGUUGGUGAUAUUAUAUGGGGGAAAAUUCAUGGCUUUCCCUGGUGGCCUGCGUGCAUUCUUGGCAUUAGCGUUAACAAGAAGGAAAAUGGGACACCAUUGUGGCAGGAAGCCAGAGUGUCUUGGUUUGGAUCACCUACAACGUCGCUGCUUUCUGUGUCAAAGGUCUCUCCAUUUUUGGAGUAUUUUAAGUUGAGGUUUAACAGAAAGAAGAAAGGAGUGUACCGUAGGGCGAUUACAGAAGCUGCCAAGGCAGCUCAACACCUGACACCUGAAAUCCGAUCUCUUCUUUCGCAAUAUGACAGUUAACUGAGCCAAAGCAGAUGCUGCCUGACCUGCUGAGUGUUUCCAGCUUUUUCUGUUUUGAUUACCACUUAUUCACUCCAUUAUCCCUCCUUUUGCAUUUGUUUUGGAUAGCCGAAGAUCAGGAGAAAACAAAAAUCUAUAUCCUCUCUGAUUUAACUGGCUUUGAUCUUCAGCUAAUCAUUGGAGAAUUUUGUAUGGUAUUUACGAGGCUAUCGGAUCCUGGAGAAUUCCUGUUGACGGUUAUCUUGAAGGAGCAGAAGGACUGGGCUUGACCUGUGAUGUGCAAGAGUAAAGAAUGGAACAGAAGGAAGUCUGACUUUUCAUUUUGGACUGUUAUUUGAUUGGACCCAUAUUCUCAUGGGUGGACAGUGAAUAGUAUAAUUUGGAAUGUAGCUAUUUAAGUCACUACUCUUUGUCUAAGACUUGUCUCAAUCAAAAUAAAAUUACUGCAAAAAAAACAAGGGUGAGUAAUGGAAAAAGGCUAGUCUUUUUAUUUUGAUUCCUGUUUUUCUAAAUUAUGUAAUGCAGUAGUUUUAAUACAGCAAGUUUAAAAUGUCUCUAAAUAUUCAAUUUACAAUUGUCUUACAAAUGAUUGCAGGGCAUAUUGGAUAUUAUUUGUAACUUCAUUAGCAUUUAGUGGCAUAUGAUUAUCUCUGCACUUGCAAGGCUUGCAGAAGGCUUAUGUUGCCUCUUCCUCCAGUACAUUGGAUGUUUUCCAAAUGCACAAGUAGUGCUGAAGUAGCAAUGGAUUUAAAAUAGUUCCACAGUAUAAUCAGAAGAUGAAAUUGUAACAUUUGAGCUUUCAGUGGAGAAGUUAUGUAAUAAAAAGAUUAAGUUUCCUGGAGGACUAUAUUGAAUGGGAUUUAAUGUUGGCCCUUUGGCGUAGAGCAGUAAAAAGGAUGCCAUCAAUUGGUAUUUUAUAACUACAACGACCUGGUUUUGGUGUAAAAUGAUGGCUAGCUAAAAUGUUUUGUUUUGCACAACAAUGCUAAAGUAAUUGUAAACUAUGAUAUCAUUUAUGUUGAGGAUUUAUUUAAAGAAAAAGUAAAAUUUACUGAGAAUCAUGUCAUUUUAAGGAUGCUUGCAUAAAAAUACCGGACCUGUUGAAGGCGUUGAUGAAUUUAUGGUGUGCAUUGUUUUCGUCUUUUGAAUGAUCGAUUGGUUCCCAACAAAAGUUGUAUUUUGUAUGGUGGAGCUUACUACUUGCCAUUGAGUCUGAUUCGUUUUUAAAGGAUUUGGUAAAUUAUCCCAUUGUAACCACUGGAAAAGGAUUACCUGAUGCUUUCUUACCAUUGUAUUUUGAUGGUCUUCAGAGCUGCCUUUUUGUGCACUUUCAUAAUGUGCCAUUUAGUAAUCAUAUCUUCGUAACAUUGAGUCAUGGACAUCACUGCCAGUUCUAUGGUCUGCCCAAAUUUUGGUCAGUGGUAAUAUUCUUGUUGCCCAGUUGACCUUUUAUGGCUAUGACUAGGAGGAAUAAACAAUUUAUGCUCUAGCUGCAGUCCAUUUAAUCUUGCAGUAAUGCAUUUACUCUAAGUAACAAAUAAUUACUGAAUUGGCUUAGUCAGAAAUGCACUGCCCAGAAUGUAAAGAAUGGAAUUUUGAGAUCUCAAAGAUUGGCUUUCUGCAAAAUUAAAUUAACUCUAAGCACAAGUUGGUGUCAUCAGUAGGGAAAGGGAGAAAUGGAAUGGAGAAGUAGUUUAGAAGCAGCUGUUUUUUUGUGUAUAAUGUCCUUGGCAUGUGUGUGAGUAGGGGAUCGGCAAACAUUCUUUGCAGGAAUCGAAAAUGUUGUUCUUUGAUGGGACAUUCUAUGUGGUAUCCACUUCUAGACUCCCUCUGAUCCAUUUUUCUUAAAAGUAUGCAGAUGACUUGUUCCAAACAUAGGACUUUGGGGAUAAUUCAGUUGUCAAUCUCUUUAUACAUUUAGGAAACCUGAAGACACUUAUCUGAAAGAUUCCACCACAUUCCCCAUGCUCUAUUUAAAAAAAAAAAAAAAAAUACAUGAGGUAUGUAAAUAAAUGUGAGUGAUCAGUAUCAUGCAGAUGGAUUAAAAAUUUGGUUCAUAGAAAAAUGAUUUGUAUAUUUUGUUCUCACAACAUUUUUGUCCUAUUUAAUUUUAUUGUUGGUAAUACCUUCCUCAGAAGACUUUCUGAAGAUUUGUUGUUGCAUUAUUAAAUGCAGCAAAGUUAUUGAUUUCUUUCUUUAUCCAAAAGUAACCCCUGACAUUUGUAUUUCUGGUAGAAAUAUUUCUGUUAUACAAAAUGGUGGUUGUUUUAAAAACAAAAUAUGGUUGUUGCUACCUGGAUAAGUUUUAAUAUCUUGUGCUAGUAAUCUACUCAUGGGAAGUUUAUCAUUUAAAGCCUCUGUGUACAAAUAUGGUUUCUCUAAUAAAUUUUACCCAUUUUCUCUUCAUUUGGUGUAGACAAUAAGUGCCAAAGGCAUUUAUUUACCUACCAUUUUCCAGCCACUUUGCCUGUUGCAGCUUAAUUUCGGGGACACCUUAUUAUAGUGGUGGGUAAUCAGAAGACUUUUGUGAAUGUACAAAAGUGUUGAUACUGACAAAUUGUAGACUAUUAUGGUACCAAAGCUGUCAUUUAAAUGUUUUUCCUUAAGAAGACCAUUAAAGAAAACUUGUAUUUCCAGCAUUAAUAAUUUUGUUUAUUUGCAUACUGAAAGGCAGUUCGACUGUAUUAAAAUAUGCUGUGAUGAUCAAAGGUGUGUGUGUGUGUGUAUUAAGUUAUAGACAGGCAUCUAAACUUCUCCACUUGCAUUAGCAUGAGCAAACCAAAUGGAUUUAAGUAUGACGUAAACUAAUUCCCUGGAAUAAUAACAAGCUGUGACAUGUAUUGGACAGCAUAGAACCUCAACUUUAAAUACCCUGCACUGAAAAUCAUCAGUCUUAAAUUGGAUUUAAUUUCCUGGAUACUAAAUUGCAGUGAGCGAUAAGUUUACAAACCUUGUACAGGAAAACAUAUUUUGUGAUUGUAUCAGUUAAUUUUAAAAUGUGCGCUGCUGUACUUGUAAAUGCUAGUGAAUUGUAUUCGGCCUCUGUAUGACUUGCUUUCCAACAGAUUGAAUUUGUGUAUUUACUAGUGCACUUCCACUGUACAAACUGCUGAUUGGGAGUAGCAACAGCAAGGUGAAAAGCUAAUCAGCAAUAAAGUCUAUUGAAACAC